RNAcentral lists this transfer RNA (74 nucleotides) under Cotesia glomerata. Its description in RNAcentral is "tRNA-Thr". It matches the Rfam family "tRNA". Rfam says of the family: Transfer RNA (tRNA) molecules are approximately 80 nucleotides in length. Their secondary structure includes four short double-helical elements and three loops (D, anti-codon, and T loops). The record is from RNAcentral. Lineage: Eukaryota; Metazoa; Arthropoda; Insecta; Hymenoptera; Braconidae.
GUCUCGGAUAGCUUAACUGGUAACAGCCCUUGGCGCGUAACCGAGAGAUCUGGGUUCGAUUCCCAGUCUGGGCU